UAUGGCCAUAUCAUGUUGAAAUACUGGUUCCUGUAUGAUUGCUGAAGUUAAGCAACAUCGAGCCUGGUAAGUACCUAGAUGGGUGACUGCUUGGAAAUACUAGUUUCUG
Acanthosepion pharaonis is the source of this 109-nucleotide non-coding RNA. The record is from the annotation of a GenBank genome assembly. Lineage: Eukaryota; Metazoa; Mollusca; Cephalopoda; Sepiida; Sepiidae.